CCACGCCCGCCGCCGCUGCCGCCGCGUCCCGGACACCAGCCGGCCGAGCCCCACCCGGUCCAGCCAGACCUGCCCGGCCCUGCCCAGCCCUCCGCCCCUCCGCCCCGGCCCGCCAGGUUCCUGGGGGUACAAUCAAGAUCAUCAUAUCAUGGAGCUUAUAUAUGAAAAGAGGAAAGUCAUUGAUACCUGCUUCUUAGAUGACCAGUGGUGCUAACAUGACCAGCCUAGCAAGGCUCCUCUGCCUUCUGCGAUGUCUGGGAGAAAUGAGGGGGACUCGGAGUCACAGGCCCCCGGGGCCACAGCAUGAAGAAGAAGGAGAAGCCCUGACUGGUAUGUGCCAGAGACAUCUUACGUGGGAUUCUAGGCUCAGCAGUUUCUCUCCACUGACUUUACGGGAGGAUAAACUUGGCAAAAUUCUAUUCAUCCUCCAAAAGCCAAUGAGGUUUUACAUCCUCCAGUAAACUUCCAGGAAGGCGCCUAAGUGGCAUUCUUUUGCUUGUAUUUUCAGUUUCUGGUCACUUGUGGCCACAGCCUAUGGAGCCUGCUCAUCUACUAGAUCCUCAAGCAUGGAGUCCUGACUCACUGGUCUGGUUUUUUCCAGAACCAGACUCUGGGCCUAAGGCAUAGUAAGGCAGCUCAAAACAUUUGUUGAACUGAAUUAGGGGGAAUUCUUGCUGCCGUAGGAGGAAUAGGAAUAAUGGUGGUAUUAUC
This is a long non-coding RNA of Cavia porcellus (domestic guinea pig), 711 nucleotides long. RefSeq lists it as uncharacterized. NCBI's taxonomy places the organism in Eukaryota, Metazoa, Chordata, Mammalia, Rodentia, Caviidae. The record is from RefSeq and is a predicted model, not a curated record. The transcript is spliced from 3 exons.